RNAcentral lists this long non-coding RNA (222 nucleotides) under Lathyrus oleraceus (garden pea). RNAcentral's name for it is "Pisum sativum (pea) long non-coding RNA (PSAT_LNC039127)". The record is from RNAcentral. Lineage: Eukaryota; Viridiplantae; Streptophyta; Magnoliopsida; Fabales; Fabaceae.
UUUCAACCUCUCUUCUCACCUUAUUUAAACUUUGUUUCUGAAAGUUUUUUUUCUUCUUCAUCUCAACUCUAAAACCAGAUUUGGCAUCUAGAACUUUCUUUGGUGAAGAAAAUCCUUUGCCAGUCAUUUAUGAAAAGUUUGUUGCUUUCGCUGAGCUAAAGGAUCAAGGUUUUGAUCUCUCUAAUGAUGUCACUUCUCAACAAUGGGGGAAAGUACUUUGAC